UGCGCAGGCGGUUUAUUAAGACAGAUGUGAAAUCCCCGGGCUUAACCUGGGAACUGCAUUUGUGACUGGUAGGCUAGAGUGUAGCAGAGGGGGGUAGAAUUCCACGUGUAGCAGUGAAAUGCGUAGAGAUGUGGAGGAAUACCAAUGGCGAAGGCGGCCCCCUGGGUUAACACUGACGCUCAUGCACGAAAGCGUGGGGAGCAAACAGGAUUAGAUACCCUGGUAGUCCACGCCCUAAACGAUGUCAACUAGGUGUUGGGGGAGGAGACUUCCUUAGUACCGCAGCUAACGCGUGAAGUUGACCGCCUGGGGAGUACGGCCGCAAGGUUGAA
Molecule: ribosomal RNA, 332 nt
Filed under: uncultured bacterium
Lineage: Bacteria
Description: bacterial SSU rRNA
Rfam family: Bacterial small subunit ribosomal RNA
Source: RNAcentral